GACGAACGCUGGCGGAGUGCCUAAUACAUGCAAGUAGAAAGCAGUGGCGAACGGGUGAGUAACGAGUAGGUAACUGCCUCAUAGCGGGGGAAAACUAUUGGAAACGAUAGCUAACACAGCAGACUGUGAGAUGGACCUGCGUUGUAUUAGCUAGUUGGUGAGGUAAAGGCUCACCAAGGAGACGAUACAUAGCCGACCUGAGAGGGGGAUCGGCCACACUGGGACUGGGACUCUGCCCAUACUCCUACGGGGGGCAUCAGUAUGGAAUCUUCGGCAAUGGUCGGAAGUCUGACCGAUCAACGCCGCGUGGGUGGAUUAGGUUUUCGGCUCGUGAAGCUCUGUUGUUAGCGAAGCGGUAACUAUCCAGAAAGGGACUUCUAACUACGUGCCAGCAGCCGCGGUAAUAC
Molecule: ribosomal RNA, 407 nt
Filed under: uncultured bacterium
Lineage: Bacteria
Description: partial 16S ribosomal RNA
Rfam family: Bacterial small subunit ribosomal RNA
Source: RNAcentral